Erinaceus europaeus (western European hedgehog) is the source of this 309-nucleotide non-coding RNA. Lineage: Eukaryota; Metazoa; Chordata; Mammalia; Eulipotyphla; Erinaceidae. The record is from Rfam.
GAAGGACUUCUGGCUACGACAUCUGUCACUCCACUGAUCACCAGGGCUGAUCUGGUUGGCUAGGCAGGUGUCCCCUUCCUCUCUCACCGCUCCAUGUGCGUCCCUCCCCAAGAUGUGUGCUCUGCAAAGAGAACGACCUUACCCAAAUAGAGAUGGACCAGUCUUUGGUCGAGAGUAUAUGGAGUAGCUGCCCUUCCCUGCUAGAACCUCCAAACAAACUCUCAGAAGCUCAGUCAUGAAAGUCUUUAGCAGACCAUUAUGCUGUCUCCCCAGCCCAAGUAGAAGUUAGUAUUUUAAAUAUUUAAUUUA